This 574-nucleotide unclassified non-coding RNA is filed under the name Hevea brasiliensis (rubber tree). Lineage: Eukaryota; Viridiplantae; Streptophyta; Magnoliopsida; Malpighiales; Euphorbiaceae. The record is from RNAcentral.
UAAUAAUAAUAAUAAUAAUAAAAUACUAAUCAGAAAAAACAGAAGAAGAUAAUUCUACAUGUUUUUACAAAUAAAAUUUCAAAGAAGGCAAUAAGCGAUUUAAGAAUUAAAGAGUUUAAUACCUGUCUCAAUUGAGGGCAAUUCUCAGCUGCCAAGAACCAAAUUAAUCUAAAUCCAAUGAAUUCUAUAAAAAUAUAUAGCCAAAUGUCAUGUAAAGAAAAGCUAAUAAUGAAGUGCAAAAGUUCAAUUCCAAUUAAUUUUAUAGCUCAAUCAAGAUAUAAACAUAGAUAAGGCUAAAAAUACCUUAAAAAUGGAGAAAAUAAGGAAUAAACCCUAGAUUUGAAUUCAAAACGAAAACGUAGUAAACAGAUGAGAUACAAUUAAUGAAAUAACUAACUACGGUGACAGGAGUAAUAAAAAAGAUUUAUCAAUCGGCAUAGAAAUUGUUGAAAUAAAUUGGAAAAUAACAAUAUUUGUAGCGUGAUGGACGAAAUUUAAGAACCUGAUUCGAUCGGAGAUGGAGGUCAAGAAAGAACUAGCAUGGCGUCGGUGGCAGUCGUAUUCUUCAUCGCUC